Molecule: non-coding RNA, 289 nt
Organism: Pelobates cultripes (western spadefoot toad)
Lineage: Eukaryota; Metazoa; Chordata; Amphibia; Anura; Pelobatidae
Source: the annotation of a GenBank genome assembly
AGAAGUCCCGAGGUGCCGAAGUCCCGAAAUGUCAAAGUUCUGAAAUUCCGAGGUGUCGAAGUGCUGAAGUGCCGAAGUGUCGAAGUUGCCGAAUUUCCGAAGUGUCAAAGUGCCGAAGUUUCUGAAGUUCCGAAGUCUUGAAGUGCCGAAUUGCCGAAGUCCCGAAUUGCGAAAAUCCCGAAUUUCGGAAUGCCGAACUGAACCGAAAAUUUUCCCCAUGCACAUGCCUACUGAUCACUGAGUUGCUCUAUUAUCUUGUAGCAGCCACAUUAUUCUACUUACAAUACUG